GGAAGAGGCUGUAGCUCAGUGGAAGGGCCUCUGCUUUCCAUGCAAAAUGCCCCAGAUUCAAUCCUUGCUAUUUCCA
RNAcentral lists this transfer RNA (76 nucleotides) under Sphaerodactylus townsendi. RNAcentral describes it as "tRNA-Gly". Lineage: Eukaryota; Metazoa; Chordata; Lepidosauria; Squamata; Sphaerodactylidae. The record is from RNAcentral.